Molecule: non-coding RNA, 162 nt
Organism: Podarcis lilfordi (Lilford's wall lizard)
Lineage: Eukaryota; Metazoa; Chordata; Lepidosauria; Squamata; Lacertidae
Source: the annotation of a GenBank genome assembly
UGCCAUCACGGUGGUGUACUAGGCGAGGUGAGGUGGCAGUGAGGUUGGUGCAGUGCAAACAUGCCAAUGGAGCCAAUCUGAUCCCCCCAGUUGGUGUGUUUGCACCAUGCCAGCCUCGCUGCUGCCUUGCCCCUUAUCCUCCUGGUGCACCACAGUGAUGGU